UACGAAGGGGGCGAGCGUUGUUCGGAAUCAUUGGGCGUAAAGGGCGCGUAGGCGGACCUGUAAGUCGAUUGUGAAAUCCCUGGGCUUAACCCGGGAAUUGCAGUCGAAACUGCAAGUCUUGAGUUCUCGAGAGGAUGGUGGAAUUCCUGGAGUAGUAGUGAAAUACGUAGAUAUCAGGAGGAACACCGGAGGCGAAGGCGGCCAUCUGGCGAGACACUGACGCUAAGGCGCGAAAGCGUGGGUAGCAAACAGG
RNAcentral lists this ribosomal RNA (253 nucleotides) under uncultured bacterium. RNAcentral's name for it is "partial 16S ribosomal RNA". It matches the Rfam family "Bacterial small subunit ribosomal RNA", at positions 524 to 776 of the family's 1533-position model. The record is from RNAcentral.